Molecule: long non-coding RNA, 1216 nt
Organism: Macadamia integrifolia
Lineage: Eukaryota; Viridiplantae; Streptophyta; Magnoliopsida; Proteales; Proteaceae
Exons: 3
Source: RefSeq, a predicted model, not a curated record
GGAGGAUCUGUACAGUGGUACGACGAAGAAACUCUCUCUCGAGGAAUGUGACCUACUCCAAGUGCAAAGGGAACCUGGAAUAAAGGUAUCAAUCAGGCACCUUGGUCCUUCCAUGAUCUAGCAGAUGCAACACCCAUGUAAUGAGUUCAAGGGCACCAAAUAGACCAUAGGUGACAAAGACAGCUGCCCUCAAUUCAAAGCCUAACAACAUCACAUGAGAUAGUAUUUGUUCUACAACAGAAGGAGAACCUCAAGUUCAAGAGAGAGAGAGACAAUCUCUUCUAUGAGCACACCUUGUCCCUUACAGAAGCACAAUGUGGGUUCCAGUUCAUAUUGACUCACUUGGAUGGUAUGUAGAGUCGUCAAACCUGGUAAGGCAUUUAAUAUUGAGAAGAUUUAAUUAAACUUGGCCUUGUGGUAGGGUCAAUUUGGGAUGUCUUCUUGAUUCAUGAUGGUUGGAUGGUUUAUUUAUUCAUUCUUUUUGGGGUGCUUUUUGGAACCAGAUCAAUUCAAGGCAAUCAACGAUGAGGGUAUCCCAAUGUACCAGAGGAAUUUUAUGAGGGGAAACUCUGCAUUCACUUCACAGUAGAGUUCCCUGAUUCAUUCACUUUAGGGCUCUUUGAUUCGGGGUUUGGGUUAUUGUUUAUAUUACCUUCAAGUUUCUAUCUAUCUAACUAGUUGCUUUAGUAAUGUUGUUGCUUAUUUAAAUCUAAAUAUUCAUUCAUUUUUUUUUUUUUCUGAGUCAAGUUUAUUUAUACUAUGGGAUCUACAUGGGGCGGUUGAUAGUUUAUUUACUAUGUGUUCCUAGACUAAUCUAAUUUUUUAAAUGAAUUUUGACUCUUAUAAAGAGCAACCCAAUGCAUGAGACUAGGCCUGUGAGGGGCAAAUGUUAUCAGUUAAUAAAUUGAUGCUAACAAUUUUUUAGGUAUUUUCUUACUCUGACAGGUUGUAUAUGACAAGCUAGGGAUGCGUAUUGGCCUUCCAUUUAUUGGGAGACCACGGCCUUCAGUUUAUUGCAAGAGUAUGUGGAGGACAAUGUGCCGGAUUUUUUGGUCUUAAUAUGCAUGCAAAUUGUAUUUUUUUUUAAAUAUCCACGCAAUAUGGUGUGUUUUUCACAGAUACAGGAAUUUGUCUAUUUUUCGAACACAUUCCUGGUUGUGCACAUGUAUGUAAGUAAUUAAUGUCAUGGACAUAUGGAAAUAUGUAAAGAACUUAG